Molecule: ribosomal RNA, 442 nt
Filed under: uncultured bacterium
Lineage: Bacteria
Description: bacterial SSU rRNA
Rfam family: Bacterial small subunit ribosomal RNA
Source: RNAcentral
CCCUACGGGAGGCUGCAGUAGGGAAUAUUGCACAAUGGGCGAAAGCCUGAUGCAGCAACGCCGCGUGCGCGAUGAAGGUCUUCGGAUCGUAAAGCGCUUUUCUGGGAGAUGAGAAAGGACAGUAUCCCAGGAAUAAGUCUCGGCUAACUACGUGCCAGCAGCCGCGGUAACACGUAGGAGGCGAGCGUUAUCCGGAUUCACUGGGCGUAAAGCGCGUGCAGGCGGUUCGGUAAGUUGGGCGUGAAAUCUCCCGGCUCAACUGGGAGAGGUCGUCCAAUACUACCGAACUUGAGAGCGAUAGAGGAAAAUGGAAUUCCAGGUGUAGUGGUGAAAUGCGUAGAUAUCUGGAGGAACACCAGUGGCGAAAGCGAUUUUCUGGAUCGUUUCUGACGCUCAGACGCGAAAGCUAGGGUAGCAAACGGGAUUAGAUACCCUAGUAGUC